Molecule: ribosomal RNA, 295 nt
Filed under: uncultured Pseudomonas sp.
Lineage: Bacteria; Pseudomonadati; Pseudomonadota; Gammaproteobacteria; Pseudomonadales; Pseudomonadaceae
Description: partial 16S ribosomal RNA
Rfam family: Bacterial small subunit ribosomal RNA
Source: RNAcentral
GUAACGAGCGCAACCCUUGUCCUUAGUUACCAGGCACGUAAUGGUGGGAACUCUAAGGAGACUGCCGGUGACAAACCGGAGGAAGGUGGGGAUGACGUCAAGUCAUCAUGGCCCUUACGGCCAGGGCUACACACGUGCUACAAUGGUCGGUACAAAGGGUUGCCAAGCCGCGAGGUGGAGCUAAUCCCAUAAAACCGAUCGUAGUCCGGAUCGCAGUCUGCAACUCGACUGCGUGAAGUCGGAAUCGCUAGUAAUCGUGAAUCAGAAUGUCACGGUGAAUACGUUCCCGGGCCUU